This 286-nucleotide ribosomal RNA is filed under the name uncultured bacterium. RNAcentral describes it as "partial 16S ribosomal RNA". It matches the Rfam family "Bacterial small subunit ribosomal RNA", at positions 1 to 292 of the family's 1533-position model. The record is from RNAcentral.
CCUUAGAGUUUGAUCCUGGCUCAGGACGAACGCUGGCGGCGCGUCUUAACACAUGCAAGUCGAACGGACCUCUUCGGAGGUCAGUGGCGAACGGGUGCGUAACACGUGAGUGACCUGCCCUUGUGUGGGGGAUAACCCGGGGAAACCCGGGCUAAUACCGCAUGACUUCAUCGGAUCGCAUGGUCUGGUGAGCAAAGGUCCUUCGGGACUGCGCAGGGAGGGGCUCGCGGCGUAUCAGCUAGUUGGUGAGGUAACGGCUCACCAAGGCGAUGACGCGUAGGGGGUC